Molecule: transfer RNA, 73 nt
Filed under: Microscillaceae bacterium
Lineage: Bacteria; Pseudomonadati; Bacteroidota; Cytophagia; Cytophagales; Microscillaceae
Description: tRNA-Gly
Rfam family: tRNA
About the family: Transfer RNA (tRNA) molecules are approximately 80 nucleotides in length. Their secondary structure includes four short double-helical elements and three loops (D, anti-codon, and T loops).
Source: RNAcentral
GCGGGAGUAGCUCAGUUGGUAGAGCGUUGGCUUCCCAAGCCAAAGGCCGCGGGUUCGAGCCCCGUCUCCCGCU